RNAcentral lists this ribosomal RNA (450 nucleotides) under uncultured bacterium. RNAcentral describes it as "partial 16S ribosomal RNA". It matches the Rfam family "Bacterial small subunit ribosomal RNA", at positions 338 to 795 of the family's 1533-position model. The record is from RNAcentral.
CCUACGGGUGGCUGCAGUGAGGAAUAUUGGUCAAUGGGCGCAAGCCUGAACCAGCCAUCCCGCGUGAAGGAUGAAGGCUCUAGUAGUUGUAAACUUCUUUUAUAUGGGAAGAAACCUGAGUACGUGUACCCAGUUGACGGUAUCAUAUGAAUAAGCAUCGGCUAACUCCGUGCCAGCAGCCGCGGUAAUACGGAGGAUGCAAGCGUUAUUCGGAUUUAUUGGGUUUAAAGGGUCAGCAGGCGGGAUCGGAGAAAUCCUAUAGCUUAACGAUAGAACUGCCAUUGAUACUGUGAUUCUUGAAUGUAGUUGACGUGGGCGGAAUAUGACAUGUAGCGGUGAAAUGCUUAGAUAUGUCAUAGAACACCAAUUGCGAAGGCAGCUCACGAAACUAUUAUUGACGCUCAGGGACGAAAGUGUGGGUAGCAAACAGGAUUAGAUACCCUUGUAGUC